GGUCCCAAGGGUAUGGCUGUUCGCCAUUUAAAGUGGUACGCGAGCUGGGUUUAGAACGUCGUGAGACAGUUCGGUCCCUAUCUGCCGUGGGCGCUGGAGAACUGAGGGGGGCUGCUCCUAGUACGAGAGGACCGGAGUGGACGCAUCACUGGUGUUCGGGUUGUCAUGCCAAUGGCACUGCCCGGUAGCUAAAUGCGGAAGAGAUAAGUGCUGAAAGCAUCUAAGCACGAAACUUGCCCCGAGAUGAGUUCUCCCUGACCCUUUAAGGGUCCUGAAGGAACGUUGAAGACGACGACGUUGAUAGGCCGGGUGUGUAAGCGCAGCGAUGCGUUGAGCUAACCGGUACUAAUGAACCGUGAGGCUUAACCUUACAACGCCGAAGCUGUU
Molecule: ribosomal RNA, 387 nt
Filed under: Escherichia coli
Lineage: Bacteria; Pseudomonadati; Pseudomonadota; Gammaproteobacteria; Enterobacterales; Enterobacteriaceae
Description: partial 23S ribosomal RNA
Rfam family: Bacterial large subunit ribosomal RNA
Source: RNAcentral